Long non-coding RNA from Pollicipes pollicipes, 226 nucleotides. RefSeq lists it as uncharacterized. The transcript is spliced from 3 exons. Lineage: Eukaryota; Metazoa; Arthropoda; Thecostraca; Pollicipedomorpha; Pollicipedidae. The record is from RefSeq and is a predicted model, not a curated record.
UCAUGGAGAAGUGCAUGGCGGUGGCGGAGUCCUGGCUCGUCGACAUCGACACCAACCGCGUGUACACCUUCACGGAGCUUCAGGAGACGCAGGCGGAGCACAGGAAGAAGACCUUGGAGCUACUUAAACAGGUGCAACAGGAGAUCAUAGAGAUUCUUAGCACAAUGUUCGAGUACUUCAAGAACGACUCGCAAACCGUCAUCCAGCAUUGGGGCAAGUACCUGGG